This is an RNA transcript of Anopheles arabiensis, 4516 nucleotides long. It is a transcript of the gene named crossover junction endonuclease MUS81, with no coding region annotated. The record is from RefSeq and is a predicted model, not a curated record. Lineage: Eukaryota; Metazoa; Arthropoda; Insecta; Diptera; Culicidae. The transcript has 4 exons.
AACGUUGAAAACAAAAACCGGGUAUUCAACGCAUCUCAUCUUUUCGGGGUUCAGCAAUUCAACUCAAAAUGGUGUAAAACAUCCCACAAUUAUGCCACAAGUAAAGUGCAGCGUUAAACUAGAAAAGGAACACGCCGGGAGCGAUGCAUCCGCCUCGCAGCAGCAACCCAAUCGGCGCAGGAUAAGCGUCCGGCUCAAGCGACCGAACCCACUGUUCGAAAUGUGGUUAGAAGAAAUGAUAGCCAAAGCGGAAGAAAAGAACACGAUGGGUAAGAUGGCGCUCCAGAAAGCCCUCACCUCCUUGCGGCGCUAUCCGCUUCCGCUGGCAACGGGCCGGGACUGUAUAGCGUUGAUGGAUUUCGGCAAAACGAUCUGCGAAAAUCUCGAUCGCAGGCUAAAGGCGUACCUUGCUAGCGGUGGGCGGGUAGUGUUCGAUCAUACGCCAGCAAUUGAGGCUCUCUUGAAUGAUGAGCAAGGAGAACAUUACCGGGAACUUACGCGCACAGUGCGGCAGGAACGAGUGGAAGAGGUUAUGGUGGUUGCCGAGGAAACAGAACCCAUCGAGGAAGCCAUGCCAAACGAUUCCAUUUUCGAUCACGUACCCGGUGCUGCGGCAGGAGGUGACGAGUUCGUUCGCAUAACGCACCCGAAAGCGAUCCUGCUGGUAGACACGUGUGAAACGAUCGGCAAAUCGAAAAGUGGUCUAGAUCGAACGCUACAGGAGCUGACGCAGUACGCCGUGGAGCACGAGGUACGGCGCUUGAGUGUGGGCGAUUUCGCGUGGAUUGUGCGGAACGAUUCGGGCAGGGAGUUUCUGCUGCCCUACGUAGUGGAACGCAAGCGCAUGGACGAUCUGGCCAGCAGCAUCAAAGAUGGCCGGUUUCACGAGCAAAAGUUUCGUCUGAUGCAGUGUGGUCUGCCAAAUGUAAUUUACCUGAUUGAGCAUCUCGGGAACAACCGGCAGGUCGGUGUACCGGAGGGAACGCUUACCCAAGCGGCAAUCAACACGUACGUGCAGGGGUUCACCGUAAAGUACACGGAAAACCAUCACCACACUGUCCUGUACCUUUCCGUGAUGACAAACUUUUUGAACAAUUCGCUUCAGAAUAAACUUUACCUCGACGUUACUAAUCGGCCCGCGACGGAGCACGCUUCCGAAUAUCGCUUCUCCAGUCAAACCGUUCCACUGUUUUCGUUUGAAUAUUUCUACAAACAAUCGUCCAAAACGCGCGACACCACCGUGCGGGACACGUUCAUGAAGCAGCUGCUGCAAAUUAAGUUGCUGACGAUCGAGAAGAUAAAUGCCAUCGUGGAGAAAUACCCAACGCCGCAGAGUCUGUUCCGCGCGUACGAACGGUGCCCGAGCGAGACGGAGCGUCAGCGCCUACUGAACCUACCGUACGGGCCGACGAAGCGUACGAUCGGCGACAAGCUGAGCAAAAUCAUCUACCAGCUGAUGAUGAGUGAACGGUAUACUUCGUGAGCCACCGGAGGUCGCUUGGGACACCCAGCGUAGAGGUAAGAUGGUCAUAUUGCUGCGUUUUGCUGAUGAGAUAGUUAGUGACAACUGUGCCUCAAACGUUUUCCACUCCGGUAUCCCGUUCUUGAGACUAUAGCAUAAACGGUUGGCAGUCAGUUAAUGUGAUAGGAUCUAAAUGUGAUAGCCUUGAAAAAACCGGAUAAUGCCCGGACAUUGAGUAUGGACCUCGUAGUUCCGUCAAUCUGUUAAUCCAGACUUAAUGCCUGCCGCAUCUACACCGUUAGCCACCUCCUGCCAUGCCCUGUCUCUCCUGGAGGACUUCUUCAAAGGAUGUUACAAAAUACAUCAUGCUGUUCCCUGUGUAUAACAUAGCCUUAGCUCUGCAAUGGGAUGGAUUCCGAAGCACAUCUGUAAGGGAUAUUACAGACUCUCUUCGACGACAUGUCGAACUGUUAGACUGGUAACAUGUAUCAUCACAUAUCCAAGCUUGAGUACACGAACUUUGAAACAUCCUCUUAGAAGGAUAGUGGCCCCUUGCCAAUCUGGAGACAUGUGGCUACCCCAAUUAACUGGUGUGGAUGAACGUCAGGUGUUCCGCGAAAUGGAAUCAACGAUAUCGGCCUUACGCUAUGCACGGCGAUCGACAUGGAUGUGAGGCUCCAGCUAUGAAUCAAGCAACCUGCAGAAUUAUUGUUCACCAGGCCAUGUCACGAUUACAUGCUGGUACGAUUUUGUGAGCAAACCAUCGAGAGAGAGUCGCUCGUUGAGGACUUCUUCAAAGGAUGUUACAAACUACAUCAUUCUGUUCCCUGUGUAUAAAAUUGUCUUAGCUCUGUAAUGGGACGGAUUCUGAAGCUCAUCUGUAAGAGAUGUUACAGAUUCUCUUCGACGAAACGUCGAAUUGCACGGCCUGGCAACAUGUAUCAUCACAUAUCCAAGCUUGUGUACACGAACUUGCUACAUCCUUCUAGAAGGAUAGUGGCCCAAUGCAAAUCUAGAGACAUGUGGUUACCCCAAUCAACUGGGGUGCAAAUGGGGGAUGCAAUCAACGAUAUACGCUAUCCACGGCGAUCAACAUGGACGUGAGGUUGCAGCUAGGAAUCGAGCAUCCUGCAGAAUUAUUGCUGUCGCAAAAGUGCUCGAAUUAUUCGUUUAUGAACUCUUGUUGGCUUCUGCCUGUAACAUUAGCCCUAAUCAGCACGAAUUCGUUCCCAGAAGGUUAACAACGACAAAUCUUGUGCAAAUACAAACCUACAGUCAUCAUCCUACUGAUGCGCAUUUCCAUGUAGAUGCCAUGUCUCAUGACAUAUUACUCUCCAAACUAGGUCCCAGGACAACUCUUAAAAUGAGCUCAUGGAACAUAUGCACUCUUAGCGGAACCGGAACUUUAAAACAGUAGGAUGAAGCCCAACUGCUUGACACGCUAAACAUCGACAUGGAUUGUGAGCAACGGGCGAAAUUAUUAGUUUCAAGGGCUAUAGAUGAUUGGUUAUGUACCCUACGCGCAUUUGAGGCAGAUUUUUCAACAUAAGCCGCACAAUCUGGCACGUCCCUCCAUAGGCAACUAGAAAAAAACGAUCGACGCUGACGACAGUCAAUUCACGAGUUAUUUACAAUACAGCGUAACCCCGCAACAAAGGCCGAAACAUGAUGGGUGUGAAGUGGUCCUCGGAACAAGAGCUAUCUUUGUUGCCCAGUGAGCCGAACGAAACGAACAAACGGUGAGGAAAAUCUGUGUAUAUCCUGCCUGCGGGAAAAUCAAGCAACCGACUGUAUGAAGAGCGUGGAGCGCGGCAUCGGGCAAGAAACGGCGGGGCAAACGGUGGCCACGGGCGCGAUGCUUUGCGCCAGCACUCCAUAGGCUGGUGGGCGUUGGUGUCUACUUCUGGCUGCAAUCAACAAUCUUCUGCGCUUCGGCCUGUGCAUUCCAAAUAGGGAGAGCGAAAGUUAUAUGCAUUUUGUACACGGUUUGUAUCAUGCAAUCGUUCGCUUCGGUUCGCUAACCGGGUUCGCCCACCCAUUCCCCAACCCUACCUGAAUCAUCCGGUAGAUGACGAGCAGCGAAUCAACCGGUGUUUUGCACGCGUCCUGCCCGAAGGUACUGCCGAGCGGAUUAAUUCCCAUCGCACCUUGCGACCGCUUGCCCCAGGCCGGUGUGAAGGUCAGCUGAAACGGCAUUUCUAUUAGUAGCUGCAGCUGGGGUGGUGCUAGGGCCCGCGAACCUGCCGGCCCGCGGUAAACAUCAUCCAACCAUCUGCGCUUACCUGAGCUUCGGUGAUCAACAUCAAAGAGGCACAAAUCAGCAGCACGGUGAACAGCUUCACGGUAUCCAUAUCGGCGCGGCACCGGCAAAGAUCUCGGCGGUAGAUUAAUUAGAAUUUUGUUAUUUGCUUUUUAAUGUUUGCCCGGGACGUUCGCUGGUUCCGGCGGUCGUUAGCGCUAGCUGUCGGCGGUUGAAUGGGCGCGCUGCGCGACGAUGUAGCGUUUCCGAUUGAAUGGUGCAGCGUGUCUGAAUUCUGCCUGCUCCUGGUGUGUGGUUUUUUAUACGUCAGCAUGGUCUUAGCGUCCUAGCGGGGCGAGUCCUUUUGUGAGCGUGGUCGGUUGUACGGUUUCCUUGAAGCCGCUGCAAUGCACUACUUCGCUGCACGAUCCGAGAUGAUGGCAAUGAGCCAAAAAGGGAGGAUUCUAAAAAAGAGAGAGAAAAAAAAUGCUUCCAGACGUUGUACGGAAGUAAUUAAAGAUCCGUUUUAGUUUGCACUUGCAGGAUGGCAUGACGUACGAUGAUGCUGACCGUGCUAUGCUCCGUUAGCGGGAGCAGUGGUAAAGAUGGGUAGGAAAAUCGUUAUGGCUCACGGCGUUUCGUAUUGCCUGAUGUGCGCCAAUAAUCAUGCAGUUAAACAUACACAAUCGAGGAAUACCUAGAUCUAGUUAAUGAAUAUGCUUUCAUAAUUCACACCGGUAUGGAUAGGUUAGCAAUGUUUAUAUGAAGCUAUGAUUGCUGUUUUGUUUGCACUGAAUAAAUAUAAUGGAAAAUUG